RNAcentral lists this long non-coding RNA (850 nucleotides) under Elaeis guineensis (African oil palm). RNAcentral's name for it is "long non-coding RNA (EGUI_LNC020449)". Lineage: Eukaryota; Viridiplantae; Streptophyta; Magnoliopsida; Arecales; Arecaceae. The record is from RNAcentral.
UCCGUACCACUUCCCGAUGUUCCAUGUAGGGCGGAGGACAUGUUUAAGGAAGGAGACAACAUACAUCCAAAUAAAGAUGUUGGCUAUAAGGAUGAUCGAAAGAUUUAGUUUCAAGGUGGCAGCGAGAAUGAGGUUGAGUUUGUCUCUACUUUAAAGAUGAAGAGGUUUAAUAGUAUCAGUGAGGAGGAGAGAAAAAAAGGUGCAAAGGUGGCGGUGACUUUGUAAUGGCUUGAUGUCUUUACCGAUUGUUGUAUAGUCCAAUCAUAGAUUUGGUCUUGAAAGACCUAAACUUCCAUUAGUUGGAUUUUGUGGUUGGAGAGUUCCCUUGUCGCAACCAAAAAUUAUUUCCCGUUACUUCACGUGGUUAACUUUUGGCCACGUGGAUAUAUUUAGCAUUCAAAUUAUGCCUUCACAAAAGUAUUUAACUAAAACCAGAGGAUUAUUUUUUUUCUUUUUGAAGAGAAUUAAAAUCAAAGGAGUUGGGGUAUGAUUUCUUUAAGCUUUUUACUUUUUUACUGGAUUGUAUAUGAUUAGAUAUGAUUGUAUAUUGGCACAUUAAACCUUGCUUUGUGUGGCAUGGAACUGGCAUGUAGCAUGGGCUGAAAAAAAUUAUAGUCAGUGAAAGGCAGGUGGUCAAUCUUCAGAGGCAAGCAGUGGCUCUUAACUUAAGUCCUUCCUGGAUGUGAUCUGUCGGAGUAUAGCUAAGAGGAUGAUCUAUACCUGGGGAAUAGGAAGGCUUACAUCGCCUAUCAGAUCUAAUUUUUUAGAAACAACUUAAUCUAAUAAUGAUUUUCAAUAUUCCUAAUUUUCUAUUUUAAUACUAUUCUAAUUGGAAUAGAUAGAUUGUCUU